ACCAGGCCUUGACAUGCAGAGAACUUUCCAGAGAUGGAUUGUGCCUUCGGGAACUCUGACACAGGUGCUGCAUGGCUGUAGUCAGCUCGUGUCGUGAGAUGUUGGGUUAAGUCCCGUAACGAGCGCAACCCUUGUCCUUAGUUACCAGCACGUUAUGGUGGGCACUCUAAGGAGACUGCCGGUGACAAACCGGAGGAAGGUGGGGAUGACGUCAAGUCAUCAUGGCCCUUACGGCCUGGGCUACACACGUGCUACAAUGGUCGGUACAAAGGGUUGCCAAGCCGCGAGGUGGAGCUAAUCCCAUAAAACCGAUCGUAGUCCGGAUCGCAGUCUGCAACUCGACUGCGUGAAGUCGGAAUCGCUAGUAAUCGUGAAUCAGAAUGUCACGGUGAAUACGUUCCCGGGCCUU
Molecule: ribosomal RNA, 409 nt
Filed under: uncultured Pseudomonas sp.
Lineage: Bacteria; Pseudomonadati; Pseudomonadota; Gammaproteobacteria; Pseudomonadales; Pseudomonadaceae
Description: bacterial SSU rRNA
Rfam family: Bacterial small subunit ribosomal RNA
Source: RNAcentral